Molecule: ribosomal RNA, 491 nt
Filed under: uncultured bacterium
Lineage: Bacteria
Description: bacterial SSU rRNA
Rfam family: Bacterial small subunit ribosomal RNA
Source: RNAcentral
AUUGAACGCUGGCGGCAUGCUUUACACAUGCAAGUCGAACGGCAGCACGGGGUAACCCUGGUGGCGAGUGGCGAACGGGUGAGUAAUGCAUCGGAACAUAUCUUAAAGUGGGGAAUAACGCAUCGAAAGGUGUGCUAAUACUCCAUAUACUCUAAGGAGGAAAGCGGGGGAUCGAAAGACCUCGUGCUUUAAGGGUGGCCGAUGUCUGAUUAGCUAGUUGGUGGGGUAAAGGCUUACCAAGGCGACGAUCAGUAGCUGGUCUGAGAGGACGAUCAGCCACACUGGGACUGAGACACGGCCCAGACUCCUACGGGAGGCAGCAGUGGGGAAUAUUGGACAAUGGGGGCAACCCCUGAUCCAGCCAUGCCGCGUGAGUGAAGAAGGCCCUCGGGUUUAAAGCUCUUUUGUCCGGAAAGAAAAGCAUCUGGUUAAUACCCGGGGUGUUCUGACGGUACCGGAAGAAUAAGCACCGGCUAACUUCGUGCCAGCAG